This 473-nucleotide ribosomal RNA is filed under the name Bacillus velezensis. RNAcentral describes it as "partial 23S ribosomal RNA". It matches the Rfam family "Bacterial large subunit ribosomal RNA", at positions 2063 to 2535 of the family's 2925-position model. The record is from RNAcentral. Lineage: Bacteria; Bacillati; Bacillota; Bacilli; Caryophanales; Bacillaceae.
AGGUUACCCGCGACAGGACGGAAAGACCCCGUGGAGCUUUACUGCAGCCUGAUAUUGAAUGUUGGUACAGCUUGUACAGGAUAGGUAGGAGCCUUGGAAACCGGAGCGCCAGCUUCGGUGGAGGCAUCGGUGGGAUACUACCCUGGCUGUAUUGACCUUCUAACCCGCCGCCCUUAUCGGGCGGGGAGACAGUGUCAGGUGGGCAGUUUGACUGGGGCGGUCGCCUCCUAAAAGGUAACGGAGGCGCCCAAAGGUUCCCUCAGAAUGGUUGGAAAUCAUUCGCAGAGUGUAAAGGCACAAGGGAGCUUGACUGCGAGACCUACAAGUCGAGCAGGGACGAAAGUCGGGCUUAGUGAUCCGGUGGUUCCACAUGGAAGGGCCAUCGCUCAACGGAUAAAAGCUACCCCGGGGAUAACAGGCUUAUCUCCCCCAAGAGUCCACAUCGACGGGGAGGUUUGGCACCUCGAUGUCGG